Molecule: ribosomal RNA, 253 nt
Filed under: uncultured bacterium
Lineage: Bacteria
Description: partial 16S ribosomal RNA
Rfam family: Bacterial small subunit ribosomal RNA
Source: RNAcentral
GACGUAGGGGGCGAGCGUUGUCCGGAUUUAUUGGGCGUAAAGCGUGCGUAGGCGGCUGCGCAAGUCGGUUGUGAAACCCCGGGGCUCAACCCCGGAACUGCAUCCGAUACUGCGUGGCUAGAGGUAGGUAGGGGAGAUCGGAAUUCCCGGUGUAGCGGUGAAAUGCGCAGAUAUCGGGAGGAACACCGGUGGCGAAGGCGGAUCUCUGGGCCUGUCCUGACGCUCAGGCGCGAAAGCUAGGGGAGCGAACAGG